GCACGGCCAGACGCAUCUCUGGCAGGGCUAUUUCAGGAAGACCACUGCAGCAGGCUGAGUCCAUGCGCUGCUUGUUCUUGCAUCCUUUGCUCCAUGACGUUCCCUGGAACAUAGGAAGGGUGACACAGAUGUCCUGUUUUGGCUGAGCCUCAGUCACUCAUUCUUGGCAUCCGACCAGUUAUGAGACCUUUGGCCCUUGCUCGCAGCUGAGAGAGGCUUUUUGACCAAAGCCGAGAGCUGUAUUCGUCUGUGAAUAGAAGGCAGGUUCACUACAUGUCCAUUCAGCAUAGGACCCACAGGGCCAUGCUUUUGACCAUGAAAACCAGAACUUGAUGACAAUGACAAAACCCUAUUGCUGAAGACACACACACUUGAAUCAAAGAACACGGACAAAUCAAGCCUGAAUUCACCAGGAAGUUCCAUCUCUACCUGCCAGCUUUCAUAGUGCCGGAAGGUGUGGUACAUGCUGGUAGGAGGAAAGUAAUUAUCCGUCUUACCCAACCGUGAACCCUGAGAACUACAGUAGUGAGACUGGCUGGUGCAGCAGUGGGAUGCCUGUUAUGGAAGCAACCAGCCGUGUUGACUGAAUUUAAGUUUCCAUUCACAAGAUAAAACCAUACCUGGAACUGUUACUGGGGCCAAGAACCCAUGGCCAUUAAGGUCUUAGGUCCUAGGGGGGACCCUAAAUUCUGCUAAAUGUAUGCAGUCUUAAACUGACUCCUGAUGACUUUA
RNAcentral lists this long non-coding RNA (732 nucleotides) under Cricetulus griseus (Chinese hamster). RNAcentral's name for it is "lncRNA (ENSCGRG00015031283.1)". The record is from RNAcentral. Lineage: Eukaryota; Metazoa; Chordata; Mammalia; Rodentia; Cricetidae.